Molecule: transfer RNA, 86 nt
Filed under: Ruminococcus sp.
Lineage: Bacteria; Bacillati; Bacillota; Clostridia; Eubacteriales; Oscillospiraceae
Description: tRNA-Ser
Rfam family: tRNA
About the family: Transfer RNA (tRNA) molecules are approximately 80 nucleotides in length.
Source: RNAcentral
GGAAGAGUAUCGAAGUGGUCAUAACGGACCUGACUCGAAAUCAGGGAGCCUUAACGGGCACGAGGGUUCGAAUCCCUCCUCUUCCG